UACAGAGGUCUCAAGCGUUGUUCGGAUUCAUUGGGCGUAAAGGGUGCGUAGGUGGCGCGGUAAGUCGGGUGUGAAAUUUCGGAGCUUAACUCCGAAACUGCAUUCGAUACUGCGGUGCUUGAGGACUGGAGAGGAGACUGGAAUUCAUGGUGUAGCAGUGAAAUGCGUAGAGAUCAUGAGGAAGACCAGUGGCGAAGGCGGGUCUCUGGACAGUUCCUGACACUGAGACACGAAGGCCAGGGAGCAAACGGG
Molecule: ribosomal RNA, 252 nt
Filed under: uncultured bacterium
Lineage: Bacteria
Description: partial 16S ribosomal RNA
Rfam family: Bacterial small subunit ribosomal RNA
Source: RNAcentral